Molecule: ribosomal RNA, 393 nt
Filed under: uncultured bacterium
Lineage: Bacteria
Description: partial 16S ribosomal RNA
Rfam family: Bacterial small subunit ribosomal RNA
Source: RNAcentral
AUACGGAGGACGCGAGCGUUAUCCGGAUUCAUUGGGUUUAAAGGGUGCGCAGGCGGCCGUGCAAGUCAGCGGUGAAAGCCCGGGGCUCAACCCCGGAAGUGCCGUUGAUACUGCGUGGCUGGAAUGCGGUCGAGGCGGGCGGAACGUGGCGUGUAGCGGGGAAAUGCGUAGAUAUGCCACAGAAGGCCGAUAGCGGAGGCAGCUCGCCAGGCCUGCAUUGACGCUCGGGCACGAAAGCGUGGGGAUCGAACAGGAUUAGAUACCCUGGUAGUCCACGCCGUAAACGAUGGGCGCUCGUCGUCGGCGGCAGACAGUCGGCGGCCAAGCGAAAGCGAUAAGCGCCCCACCUGGGGAGUGCGGUCGCAAGGCUGAAACUCAAAUGAAUUGGCGGGG